GGGCUGAUGAUGUAACUGACAGCAUAGAAGUCCUGCAAACUUCUCGUAAGGGUUUGAAUCCCUUUCAGUCCACCA
RNAcentral lists this transfer RNA (75 nucleotides) under Acidobacteriota bacterium. RNAcentral describes it as "tRNA-Ala". It matches the Rfam family "tRNA". From Rfam's summary of the family: Transfer RNA (tRNA) molecules are approximately 80 nucleotides in length. Their secondary structure includes four short double-helical elements and three loops (D, anti-codon, and T loops). Further hydrogen bonds mediate the characteristic L-shaped molecular structure. tRNAs have two regions of fundamental functional importance: the anti-codon, which is responsible for specific mRNA codon recognition, and the 3' end, to which the tRNAs corresponding amino acid is attached (by aminoacyl-tRNA synthetases). tRNAs cope with the degeneracy of the genetic code in two manners: having more than one tRNA (with a specific anti-codon) for a particular amino acid; and 'wobble' base-pairing, i.e. permitting non-standard base-pairing at the 3rd anti-codon position. The record is from RNAcentral. Lineage: Bacteria; Pseudomonadati; Acidobacteriota.